AUCUAAGUAGCUUAUUUAUAGAGCAUAAUAUUGAAAAUAUUAAGGUAAUAUUUAUAUUUUUAGGUA
RNAcentral lists this transfer RNA (66 nucleotides) under Andrena haemorrhoa. RNAcentral's name for it is "tRNA-Phe". It matches the Rfam family "tRNA". From Rfam's summary of the family: Transfer RNA (tRNA) molecules are approximately 80 nucleotides in length. Their secondary structure includes four short double-helical elements and three loops (D, anti-codon, and T loops). Lineage: Eukaryota; Metazoa; Arthropoda; Insecta; Hymenoptera; Andrenidae. The record is from RNAcentral.